RNAcentral lists this long non-coding RNA (1188 nucleotides) under Gouania willdenowi (blunt-snouted clingfish). Its description in RNAcentral is "lncRNA (ENSGWIG00000015122.1)". The record is from RNAcentral. Lineage: Eukaryota; Metazoa; Chordata; Actinopteri; Blenniiformes; Gobiesocidae.
CCUGGCCGUAAUGGUCGGCAUGAUGGCCCAGACCUUGAUCCAGGAACUGAAGCUGUACAAACUCACAGGCAACAUGAAGGUUGAAAAUGAGCUGAUGAAGAAAAAGGAAGGGGAGCUCAGUGAAGUAAAGCUGAGAGUGAAGGAGCUGAAGGAUCAGCUGACAAACGCAGAAGCUCAAGUGAAGGACCUGAAAAUGAAACGGGAGAAAACUGAGUCCUCGUUGAUGUCUUUUGAAGAGAAGAUGCAGAACUGUAAUAAAGACAAGGAGGACUCAAUGAUGAAAAAAGCUACAGUUGAGUCAAACAUAACAAAACUUAAAGGUGAACGAGAAAAGACAAAAGCUCGAGUUGAUGAGGAUCUCAACAAUUUGAAGCAGAAAAUUCUUCAGAGAGACAAAGAAAUUUGCCCAUUUGCAGAUAUGUCUAAAGCUGAUGCACAGGCACUGUGUGGAGUUCAAAAGGAAACCAGCGCUUAAGUUUACCAAUAUCUGUUUGUUUGUGUUUUAUGCAACCAUAAGAAUUAGGGCUACUUCAAGGUUUCUGCCCAAUUCGAAGUAAAAGCAUUGCUAUAGUGGAGGCCGGGAAGAUUAGCUUGAGUCAGAUAAUUUUGAGAGGUGUGUGAGUUGGAUAAAAGUUCAUUAAUAUCAGCACUUAAUAUCAAGUUAAUAUAUCAGCUAAAGGGACAUGAAUGUUUGUUGUUUGCUUUUUUUAAGUUGUGCUUAAACAGAUGUGACUUAAUGAACCAGUAUGCCAGUGACUUAUAGAUCAGUAAAUGCCACAACCAGGCAGCAGGGAAGAGAAUUGAAUAUUCUAACAAAAAAAAAAAAAAACACACCAAGAAUUACAGCUUGUCUCAGGAAUUUCAUGCAAGAUUUUCCAUCAUGAACUGGCUGUUUCCAACCAAUUUAUGAAUAGUGUGUUGUUUAUUGUUGACUGUAGUGACAAAGUUUAUGUCAUCAUCAUGAAUUGAACAAAACCCUGAUGAUGCUGUAACAGCAGACAGUUUACAUGUACUUUUGACUCCCUCUAGUGUUUGUUGAAUGUUUUUGAAGUACAACUUUUCAGCUCUUUUAUCUAGUCUAAUAUAAUCAAGUGUUCCGUUUCUCAAUGUACUGUCUCAAGAGUUUAUUAACAUAUGCCAUGCAAUCAGAUCAAUAAAUGUUUUUCCUGGGAAAUGUUAUCUACCUUG